Molecule: unclassified non-coding RNA, 303 nt
Filed under: Hevea brasiliensis (rubber tree)
Lineage: Eukaryota; Viridiplantae; Streptophyta; Magnoliopsida; Malpighiales; Euphorbiaceae
Source: RNAcentral
GAUGUAUAAAUACUCCAAUUUUCCCCUUUCAAUGAUGUUUUAGUUGCGUAAUGUGCACAGGGAAAAAAAAAUACUAAGGUCAAGAUAUUUCUCUUCCUCUGAGUGUGUGUGUGUGUGUGUCUGGGGAGAGUGAUAUACUGAUAUAUCAGUGUUGAAAUGAGCUCGGGCAGAAAAAGUUAACAAGUUACAGAAUUACUUAGGGUGUAAUCAGAAGCAAUAUGCCACUUCAAUGACCGUAAGAAGUGACAGGUGAUUGUGGGUAAGGAAUUGAGUUCAGCAACGGACGUUCGAGUCACUUGAAAC